Non-coding RNA from Triticum urartu, 108 nucleotides. The record is from Rfam. Lineage: Eukaryota; Viridiplantae; Streptophyta; Magnoliopsida; Poales; Poaceae.
AAAGUACUCCCUCCGUCCCAAAUUUCUUGUCUUAGAUUUGUCUAGAUAUGGAUACAUCCGUAUCUAGACAAAUCUAAGACAAGAAAUUUGGGAUAGAGGGAGUAGUUG